CCGUCGUCUCUGAUUUUUUCGUCUGUAUCAUUUUGACGUUUGAAUUGGUAAGUAAUUUCUGUUCUUCAAAGACUUUAUUUGAGACAGACUGAAUCUGUAGAUGCCGCAAGAAUCAGCAUUGAGAAUAAUUCUUUUGAAGUUUACAGCAAAGUGAUAUGGUGUUGUCAUGGACUCUGCAAAAGAUAUAAGCAAAAAGAUACGCGUAAGUUUCUUGCAAAUGGUUUACACAUUGUUAACCAAAAGUUUUCGGGCAAAAGCUACCAUUUGUUAGUGGAUUUUGUUUAUUUUUUUCCAUUCAGUUGGUCUUGUCGUUACAGGCACUUGUUUUUCUAUCCAUGGCAAGAUCUACUAUCCCUAUAUAUUUACAAGGCGUCAAAGCAAAAUAAAAUUAUAGCCUUUAGAGACGUCAUUUUUAUUUGGACUACAGGGAUAGUAGAUCUUGCUGUGGAUAGGAAACAAGUGCCUGUGUCUGUGAGCACAGGAGGUUGAAAUCCUAUCAAUGAGGGUCUAUAAAUAUGUCAACUCGACUAUCACAGUAGAGCUUCUCUCGCAGUAGAGCUUCUCUCGUAGAGAGAAGCAGCUCUACUGUGAUAGUCGAGUUGACAUAUUUAUAGACCCUCAUUGAUAGGAUUUCAACCUCCUGUGCUGUGAGUUACUCGUCUUAUUUCUGUCCUAUAUUUUGUACCUUGCGCUGUUCACUCAGGGACAGCUCUGUGCAUCCCUAAUGUUGCAAUUUGCGAUUUUUGUCGAGCCUGCGACUUUUGUCGCAGAAAGCUUGACAUAGGGAUAGUGUUCCGGCGGCUAUGGCGGCGGCGUUAGCUAACUUCUUAAAAGCUUUAUAUUUUAGAAGGUGGAAGACCUUGAUGCUUCAUACUUUGUAUAUAGAUGUCUCAUGUUACGAAGUUUCUGUCAGUCACAUGUCCAAUGUCCUUGACCUCAUUUUCAUGGUUCAGUGACUACUUGAAAAUAAAGUUAAGAUUUUUUGUAAUGUUAAAUUCUCUCUUAUUAUAAGUAAUAGGAUAACUAUAUUUAGUAUGUGCGUACAAUGUACCUUGCAAGGUCCUCAUGCCUGUCAGACAGUUUUCACUUGACCUCGACCUCAUUUCAUGGAUCAGUGAACAAGGUUAAGUUUUGGUGGUCAAGUCCACAUCUCAGAUACUAUAAGCAAUAGGUCUAGUAUAUUUGGUGUAUGGAAGGACUUUAAGGUGUACAUGUCCAACUGGCAGGUGUCAUCUGACCUUGACCUCAUUUUCAUGGUUCAGUGGUUAUAGUUAAGUUUUUGUGUUUUGGUCUGUUUUUCCUAUGCUGUAUUCAAUAGGUCUACUAUAUUUGGUGUAUGGAAUGAUUGUAAGGUGAACAUGUCUAGCUGGCAGGUUUCAUCUGACCUUGACCUCAUUUUCAUGGUUCAGUGAUCAAAGUUAAGUUUUUAAGUUUUGGUCUUCUUUUCUAAUACUAUAUGCAAUAGGUAAACUAUAUUUUGUGUAUGGUAAUAUUUUAUGAUCUACAUGUAUAUAUGUCAGUUUCGCAGGUUUAAUUUGACCUUGACCUCAUUUUCACAUUUCAUUGCUCAGUGUUAAUUUUUUGUGUUUUGGUCUGUUUUUUUUUAAUUAUAAGCAAUAGGUCAACUAUUUUUAUACCCCACGCAACGAAGUUGCGCAGGGUAUAAUGUUUUUGACCCGUCCGUCUGUCAGUCCGUCCGUCCGUCCGUCAGUCCGUCCGUCAGUCCUGUUUCUUGUCAUCGCAACUCCUCUCAAACCACACAACAGAAUUUCACAAAACCUUUUUAGAUAAUAAGGACAUACUAUGUAAUGUAGUUGUGCAUAUCGACAGGAAAUUGCGAUUCAAUUUUUUUUCUAGGAGUUACGCCCCUUUGAACUUAUCUAUAAUACUAAAAUUACGAGGUCCAAUUUGUCAGCCGUCAUCGGGUAAAAACGACAAAUCAAAGAAUUCAACUCUAUAUAUAACUAAUAUAGGACAAUGGUGUAGAUUAAAAAUUACACCACUCCAGACCCUUUUGUUUUCAGCAUAAUUUAUAUUGCCAAUAAUUAACAAGUUCCGGGUGGAAUCCGAUACCGAUACAAAUAGUAUAUUCAGCUAUUACCUUAUCUGUACGUUCCGCAUUUGACAGGCGCACCACCAAACGGUUUAUUUAGGAUUUUGCUAUAUACACGGGUCAUAAUCAAAGGACUGACACUACUAAAUUCAAUCAUUGUCAAAUUGUACCCUGUUGUAGUUUUAUUCAGCAAUCAGCAACACUUUCUAAGAUAACUAAUAUAGGACAAUGCUGUUGAUUAAAAAAUACUCCAUUCCUGGAUAGCCAGGACCUUUUGUUUUCCAAAUAAUUAAUAUUUCCAAUAACUGAUAAGUUCCAGGUCGACGGGUUCAAGCAGAAAGAUUUGAAAGCAGAGAAAACUGUGUAUCUUAUAAUCGACAUGACUUAUCAGAGGACAAUACCAAUUACUAAAAUAAGGCUUAGGCAUAGUUAUAGACUUUAAUUCAGUCACGGACCCGCGAUAUCACGGGUGUGUACUUGUUUACUUUAAUGUACUACUGCAACAGUUUGUCAUCGCAACUCCUCUCAAACCACACAACAGAAUUUCACGAAACCUUUUCAGAUAAUAAGGACAUACUAUGUAGUUGUGCAUAUCGACAAGAAAUUGCGAUUCAAUUUUUUUUCUAGGAGUUAUGCCCCUUUGAACUUAUUUACUUUAAUGUACUACUGCAACAGUUUAUCAUCGCAACUCCUUUCAAACCACACAACAGAAUUUCAUGAAACCUUUUCAGAUAAUAAGGACAUACUAUCUAGAUGUGCAUAUUGACAGGAAAUUAUGAUUCAAUUUUUUUUCUUACACAUAUUUUAUUUCUCCAAUGACAAUGUGGGGAUGUGGGGUAUGUGAGCGCGCUCACCAUUGCUCACUAAGGUUUCUUUAAUGGUUGUAUGGAAUAAUUGUUAGCUGUACAUGUCUGCCUGCAUGGUUCAUCUGUCCUUGACCUCAUUUUCAUGGUUCAUUGGUCAAUGUUUAGUUUUCUUGGUUAAUGUUAAGUUUAUAUGUGACAGUGGUAAUAAAGCUUUAUAUUUAGGACUAUCAACAUAACAUCAAUGAUUAGUAAAGAAGUCAAGACAUUUCAGUGUGUGCACUCUUGUUUACUUCAUCUGCCCACAAAAUACGUCAGCUCGGGAUAUUUCUGGCACGAACAUUUUCCUAUGUAAAAUUCUUCAUUUCUUGAAAACUUCGAUAUUCAUUUAAAUUGGUAAAAGUUAAAAAAAAAAAUUUUAAAAUGUACAAAGUUUUACCUGGCGUCAAGUUUACGACUAGUUUAUGACCCAUAGCUAAUUACAACAAGUGUCAUAAUCUGUUGUUACAGGUAAUCCAUUUAUCGGAUGGGUGAUUAAUGAUCAUCAACAUUACAUUGUAAUUAACUCAAAUAAUGUAGAAUCGGUAUGUUGGCAUUUGUCAUAUUUUAUUUGAAGAAAUGUGCAUAAGACAACACAAUUUGCAAGGUUUACCUUAGUUGAAUGAUGAAAACAUAAUCGACAGGAAGUUGAAAACCAUUGUUUUAUUUGUUUUUCGGUAAAAAAAUUAGCAAAUUCAGACAUAUUUUGUUUUUUCUGCCCUCAAUUAUGAUCCGAAAAUAACAAUACCUGGCCACCAUUGUUGACCAUAUGUAUAAUCCUCCUAAGAAGGAGCCCCCCUGAAAAAAGAAAGAUAACUGGAUUUUACUUUUUCCUAGCAUUGAGAUACCUACUUUUAAACUUUUCUCUGAAAAUACAGUGCAAACUGUUAGGAAUUGUUGAUAGACAUGAAUCUUGCUUUGACAAUUAACACCUCUAAUUUAAAUUCUUUAUUUUUUUCAGAGUGCCAUAAAGGCCAAGUUGGUAGAGCUAGGAGCAUAUGUUGGUAAGUAAACUGCAUCAUAAUACAUGUCUAAUGUGAUGUAUAAAUCUCAUAUAAAAAGUGACGAAUCAUUAAGUUCUUGACUUGGUUUAGUAACAACUCUUCAGUUUAAACAUGUAAGUUAUAGAAUGAUAAACAUGAUAAAGGUUCUUUAAAAAAACUUACCACAGAAGACUCCUAUUUUAGGCUUUGCCAAGUCAAGUUAUCUGCAGAAGAUGUUUUGCAAUGAAUGAAUGAUGAUGACUCAGCAGAUAACAAUCUAGAUGCAUCUUUGGAAUCACUGGUGUAAAAGAAAAUAAGUUUGGUCUAUUUUUCACAUGUACGAGAUACAUUGUAGCAAGAACCUUAUGCUAAUAUAUAUGCAAUGGAUAGGACUCAUGUAAAAUGACAUUUUUCCUCAACCUGGAAGAAAGAUAGCCUUAAUCUCUAUAAAUUUGGUUAUAUUUAUAUAAUAUGUAUAAUGCUUCAAACAGUCAGUGAGUGUUUCAACUCGUUUGUGAACACUUGUGAGUUUAAUCAUAAAACAUGCAAUGUUUGAUAUAGAGGUUGUCAGUCAUGUCAGUCAUGUUUUAAAUAUAUACAAUGUACAUUCAAGACAUUUGUAGGUAUAAAGCAACCUGGCAACAGAAAAAAAUUAAAUGAAUAAUAAUUAUUAUAUUGUGUUUUUGUUUGUCAUGGAAAGCAUACAAUGUAUAUAUAGAUUGAUAUAUGGGAUCUGUUAAAUAUUCUUAUAAUCUUUUUUCAUUUGCAUGAAAAUUAUUUCAUACUUAUUUCUCUUUCCUUGUCUAUCUGUAAAUAUUAAUAAUAUGACUUAUAAUAUUUGUUCUGUCCGAAUUUGAAAUGAUAUUUAAAAAUAAAAUGGUGAUUUAUUUAAGUAUAUAAUCUGGAUUGUUUUAUUGUUAUACAUAGAUGAUGAGUUGCCAGACUAUAUUAUGGUUAUGGUUGCCAACAAAAAGACCCAAAAUCAGAUGACAGACGAUUUGAGCCUGUUUCUAGGACUUAAUACAGAAAAAUUUACAUCCUGG
RNAcentral lists this long non-coding RNA (4921 nucleotides) under Mytilus galloprovincialis (Mediterranean mussel). The record is from RNAcentral. Lineage: Eukaryota; Metazoa; Mollusca; Bivalvia; Mytilida; Mytilidae.